Molecule: ribosomal RNA, 672 nt
Filed under: bacterium
Lineage: Bacteria
Description: bacterial SSU rRNA
Rfam family: Bacterial small subunit ribosomal RNA
Source: RNAcentral
GGCGGCAGGCCUAACACAUGCAAGUCGAGCGGUAACAGAGAGUAGCUUGCUACUUUGCUGACGAGCGGCGGACGGGUGAGUAAUGCUUGGGAACAUGCCUUGAGGUGGGGGACAACAGUUGGAAACGACUGCUAAUACCGCAUAAUGUCUACGGACCAAAGGGGGCUUCGGCUCUCGCCUUUAGAUUGGCCCAAGUGGGAUUAGCUAGUUGGUGAGGUAAUGGCUCACCAAGGCGACGAUCCCUAGCUGGUUUGAGAGGAUGAUCAGCCACACUGGGACUGAGACACGGCCCAGACUCCUACGGGAGGCAGCAGUGGGGAAUAUUGCACAAUGGGCGCAAGCCUGAUGCAGCCAUGCCGCGUGUGUGAAGAAGGCCUUCGGGUUGUAAAGCACUUUCAGUCAGGAGGAAAGGUUAGUAGUUAAUACCUGCUAGCUGUGACGUUACUGACAGAAGAAGCACCGGCUAACUCCGUGCCAGCAGCCGCGGUAAUACGGAGGGUGCGAGCGUUAAUCGGAAUUACUGGGCGUAAAGCGUACGCAGGCGGUUUGUUAAGCGAGAUGUGAAAGCCCCGGGCUCAACCUGGGAACUGCAUUUCGAACUGGCAAACUAGAGUGUGAUAGAGGGUGGUAGAAUUUCAGGUGUAGCGGUGAAAUGCGUAGAGAUCUGAAGGA